CGGGACCGGCGCGGGUCACGUGACGCCGGCCCCGGAAGCGCUCGUGAGACCACCCUGAGUGACCCUGCCCUGAGCUGUUGCCUGGAGCCAGCGCGGAGGUCGCGGGGACCCCAACGGUUUCGCGCUCGACGUAUCCGCCGCCAUGGCCUGGACCAAGUACCAGCUGUUCCUGGCCGGGCUCAUGCUCGUCACCGGCUCCAUCAACACCCUGUCGGCUAAGUGGGCGGACAACUUCGUGGCCCAGGGCUGCGGAGGCAGCAAGGAGCACAACUUCCAGCAUCCUUUCCUCCAGGCAGUGGGCAUGUUCCUGGGAGAGUUCUCCUGCCUGGCUGCCUUCUACCUACUCCAAUGCAGAGCUGCGAGGCAGCCAGAUGCCGGCAUGGAUCCCCAGCAGCCCUUCAACCCCCUUCUUUUCUUACCCCCAGCCCUCUGCGACAUGGCUGGGACCAGCAUCAUGUAUGUGGCCCUGAACAUGACCAGUGCCUCCAGCUUCCAGAUGCUGCGAGGAGCAGUGAUCAUAUUCACAGGCCUGUUUUCGGUGGCCUUCCUGGGGCGGAGGUUGGUGCUGAGCCAGUGGCUGGGCAUCCUUACAACCAUUGCAGGGCUGGUGGUUGUGGGCCUGGCUGACCUCCUGAGCAAGCAUGACGAUCAGCACAAGCUCAGCGAUGUGAUCACAGGGGACCUGUUGAUCAUCAUGGCACAGAUCAUCAUCUCUAUCCAGAUGGUGCUAGAGGAGAAGUUCGUCUAUAAGCACAAUGUGCAUCCCCUGCGGGCAGUUGGCACCGAGGGCCUCUUUGGUUUUGUCAUCCUCUCCCUGCUGCUGGUGCCCAUGUACUACAUGCCCGCUGGGGCCUUCAGUGGGAACCCUCGAGGGACACUGGAGGAUGUGCCGGAUGCCUUCUGCCAGGUGGGCCGACAGCCGCUCAUCGCCCUGGCGCUGCUGGGCAACAUAGGCAGCAUUGCUUUCUUCAACUUUGCCGGCAUCAGCGUCACCAAGGAGCUGAGUGCCACUACUCGGAUGGUGCUGGACAGCCUACGCACUGUUGUUAUCUGGGUACUGAGCCUGGCACUGGGCUGGGAGGCCUUCCACCCACUGCAGAUCCUUGGCUUCCUCAUCCUCCUGCUGGGCACUGCCCUCUACAAUGGGCUGCACCGCCCCCUGCUGACCCGCCUGUCCUGGGGCCGGUCCCCAGUGGCAGAGGACGGUGAACACGAGAGACUGCUCAGUGGCUCUCGGACUCCCAUCAAUGAUGCCAGCUGAACGUCCUGCGAGUUCUCUGCUGUUCCCAGGAUGCAGCUUGUUCACCCUGAAGCUGAGGCCACACAAGCUGAGUUCAGCAAACUUUUGAGAACUGAUGUCCUCCAAGGAUUGUGGCACAUCAAAGAAAACGGGAGAUGAACAUGUAAAGAAAGAAUCCCAGCACCGUGUGAUGUGCAAAAGGCCUUUGUAUGAGCGCAGGGGAAGGCAUACAGGAAAGAGGAGCUAACUCAGCCUGGAACUAUCAGAGCUCCGCUGGACCUGGGUGUGGAAGGACGAGCAGGUGUCUUCCUGGCUGGGGGGUAGGGAAAGAGGAAGUAUUGCAGGAAGAAGAAACAGCUGAUAAACACAAAAAAAGGUGUGUGUCACACACUAAGUGUGUACCUACUCAGGUAAGAAAGCUGGUAUGCGUGGCAGUAAGCGUGCAGCACACAAAGUGGCCACCAUCUCAAGGCUGGAGAGGUGGGCCAGUGCCCGGGUAGUGCUGUGCCUUGUAGACUUUGCCGAGGUGACAGAACUCUGUCCUAGACAGUAGAGUGCCAUGGAGUAUUAGGCAAGGGAAAACAUGCCCCCACUUGCUGUCUUGGAAAGAUCACCUGGUUGUUACACAGAGACAGGUUUGAUUAGAGUCAGGAGGUACUGAAGGCAGAGACUAGUGAAACAAUCUUAGAUUAAGUCGAGUCUGACCUAAAGAAAUGGUGAGAGGAAUCAAUACAAGAGCUAUUCAAGGAACAAAUUUACAUUUUAGAGCCCUUGGCUGUCGGGUCCUCUGUUGUGUAAACCAUCACCAAAGAGUGAGUCUUCUGAAACAGUCUGCUCACCCUGGCCCCCAUCUCCAAUGGCCCCACUGAGUAUCCCCUAGUACAGCUCCAGCCAGCAAACUCAAGAAGAUUCCACCUUACAGGACUGGAGACCCAAUUCGAUUCAGUCUGCUGUUGAGAGUUAGUCUUCAAGUUAGUCUUCUCAAGCUAGGCAGGAACUCCCACCAGAGUUCAGGAACUCCCACCAGAGUUCAGGAACAGCCAAGGGGGAUGUCACCAUGAGCAUCACCAAAUCAUCCAAAGGUCAUCAGCACAAAAUAAUGUUCAUUAACUUUUGUUUAUUAAGUAAAUGUUGGAAGAGGAAAAGGCCACCAAAAUCAAGAUAAAGACUUGAGGUAGAUCAUUUGGGUUCUGUGGCAGUCUGAUGAUGCUGAGGGUAGUGGUCUUGACUAUGAAUCCAGAGUUCCGGACUUGGCUCUAACUGGUGGCCUGAGAAGUCCCUUUCCCUCCCAAGUGUUAGUCUCCUUAUCCCUUGGAUAAAGGAGGUAAACCAGAUAUGCUCAUAGAUGUCCCCAGGAAUCUGUGGUCUUUGUCCCAACUGAUGGUCUAGAGAGCCUUCCAUGGCUGACCAGCAAAAGUCCCUACUUAGUGCUGGAGCUCAUGAUCAACCUUAAUACCCAAAGAAAAUGCCAUUUUGGUGGAGUUCACUUAUUGUAAUUCACUCACUUCUGCGAUUGAAGAAGGGUGAGACCUGGCAGGAUACCAGCCCUCAGCCCCACCCUGUACAGGUGCUGGCCCAGGCCUCUCCAGAAAUCAGAACUUGGCCCACUUCCUUGGGCCAGCCUCUCUCUCCCCAAGAAGUGCAGAAUCCUCUGAGGAUGAAGGUCCUGGUGCUCAUUUUGAUUCUGGCUUGGAUGGGAUGGGUCACCUCACAAUUAGGUAACUUACCUCUCCUACUGAAUUUCACAUGCCCUCUCCUGCUCCUACCCAGGGUCAGUCCAAAUGUUCAUCUGGUUUUGAAACUGAAUUAAGAUUUGGACUACUAGGAGCUUUUAAAAAGGCUACCCACUGCUCUCUUUGAUCUGUCCACUCUUACAAACACUAGAAUAAUUCUCCCAGGGCCUAUACCCUGAGAUUCUUCAGUUCACUGUCCACCAAGAUGCCACUGUAACUCUUCAAUGCCUUGGCAAUCUGCCUGCCUGUCAGGAUGCAGCCUUUAUUUCUAACAUCGGGAGGAUCAUCAAACUAGAAGAAGCUUCUAGUCCUCCCAUGUUAAUUAGUUUCCCUCUUUCUCACCCCUUCCCCCAGAUGGUAGCAGGGAACAGUGAGUAGGUGGGACUGGUGGGCUUUUCCUUUUCAUUAAGUCACUAUUUGUUUUCUUCCCAAUUGUUUAAGCAAUCACAUUUGUUGAGAAUAUAAUAAGGGCUAUAUAAUAAUUCCGAUGAAACUUUGUGCACUGAUGAAUGUAAAUUGGUGCAGCCACUGUGGAAAACUGUAUGGAGGUUCCUCAAAAAUUAAAAAUAGAACUCCCAUAUGACCCAGCAAGCCCACUUCUGGGUAUUUAUUCAAAGAAAACAACUUGAAAAGAUAAACGUACCCCCAUGUUCAUUGCAGUAUUAUUUAUAAUAGCCAGGAUUUGGAAACAACCUAAAUGUCCACCAAUGGAUGAAUAAAGACACUAUUAUAUACAAUGGAAUAAUAAUUAGCCAUAAAAAGGAAUGAAAUCUUGGAUUUGUGGCAACAUGGAUGGACCUCAAAGGCAUUUUGCUAAGUGAAAUAAGUCAGAGAAAGACAAUACCUAGUUUGAUCUCCCUUAGAUGUGAAGUAAAAUAAAAAGAUCCUCUAUUUUCUACCUUGUUUUCUAUUUCUAAUAGAGCAAAGAAAGGUCUAUAGCAGAAUUAAUGAGCGAAGAUGUGCUCUGUCUGAUUAAUGGGUGUUGGGGACUGAUGCAGCUGGACUUCUUACCUCUGUUGACCUGGACUGUUGAAAAGCAAUAGUCUUUCUGUGACUUAACUGCACCUUAAUGGAUUGAGCCAAACAUUCCUUUUCCUCCCUUCCUUUGCUCCUUUCUUUUUUAAUUGUCAUGAACUAUACACAACAUAAAACUUACCAUUUUGACCAUUAUUACAUAAUUAAGUGUACAAUUCAGUGGCAUUAAGUACAUUCACUUUGUUGUGCAACCAUUACCAUCAACCAUCUCCAGAACAUUGUCAUCUUCCCCAACUGAAACUCUACCAUUAAGUGACACUAACUCUCCACUCAUCUUUUUCCCCCAGCCCCUGGCAACCACCAUCCUACUUUCUGUCUCUAUGAAUUUGACUACUCUACACCUUGUGUGGAAUCAUAAUAUUUGCUCUCCUGUGUUUGUUUUAUUUCAUUUAACGUAAUGCUUACAAAGUUCAUCUGUGUUGUGUCAGAAUUGCCUUUCUUUUUAAGACUGAAUAAUCUUCCACUGUAUAAGUUACAUUUUGUUUAUCUGCUCAUUGGAUAUUUGGGGCUAUUGUGAAUAACGCUGCUAUUAGCAUUAUUGUACAGAUACACCUGUUCAAGUCCCUGCUUUUACUUCUUUUGAGUAUAUACCCAAAAAUGGAACUGCUUGAUCAUAUAAUAAUCCUCCACUGAAUUUUUUGACUAAUUGCUAUACUGUUUUCCACUGUGGCUGCACCAUUUUACAUACCCACCAGCAGUGAAUAAGAGUUCUGUGAAAUCACUAAUUUUGUGUGACAUCUUUCCUGAUUUCAGUACAUGUUAACUGUAGAACAUUUUAAAAAUGCAAGAAAGCGAAGUGUAGAAAAUAAAAUCUGCUCUAUUCUAACUA
This is an RNA transcript of Manis pentadactyla (Chinese pangolin), 4837 nucleotides long. It is a transcript of the gene named solute carrier family 35 member F6, with no coding region annotated. The transcript has 7 exons. The record is from RefSeq and is a predicted model, not a curated record. NCBI's taxonomy places the organism in Eukaryota, Metazoa, Chordata, Mammalia, Pholidota, Manidae.